CAAAAACCUAUCCAGAUCCAUAUAAAAGUACAUCAUGUAUGUUUUGUGGUUUUGUACUCAAAAGUACAUCAUGUAUGUUUUGUGGUGGUGUGUGGUGGGGUGUGGAGGUGGUGUAGUGGGGUGUGGAGGUGGUGUAGGGGGGUGUGGAGGUGGUGUAGGGGGGUGUGGAGGUGUGUAGUGGUGUGUGGAGGUGGUGUAGUGGUGUGUGGAGGUGGUGUAGUGGUGUGUGGUGGUGUGUGGAGGUGGUGUAGUGGUGUGUGGAGGUGGUGUAGUGGUGUGUGGAGGUGGUGUAGUGGUGUGGAGGUGGUGUAGUGGUGUGUGGAGGUGGUGUAGUGGUGUGUGGAGGUGGUGUAGUGGUGUGUGGAGGUGGUGUAGUGGUGUGUGGAGGUGUGUGGAGGUGGUGUAGUGGUGUGUGGAGGUGGUGUGGAGGUGGUGUAGUGGGGUGUGGAGGUGUGUAGUGGUGUGUGGAGGUGGUGUGGAGGUGGUGUAGUGGUGUGUGGAGGCGUGUAGUGGUGUGUGGAGGUGGUGUAGUGGGGUGUAGUGGUGUGUGGAGGUGUGUAGUGGGGUGUAGUGGUGUGUGGAGGUGUGUAGUGGUGUGUGGAGGUGGGGUGUGGAGGUGGUGUAGUGGUGUGUGGAGGUGUGUGGAGGUGGUGUAGUGGGGUGUGGAGGCGUGUGGAGGUGUUGUAGUGGGGUGUGGAGGUGGUGUAGUGGUGUGUGGAGGCGUGUGGAGGGGUGUGGAGGUGGUGUAGUGGUGUGUGGAGGUGGUGUAGUGGUGUGUGGAGGUGUGUGGAGGUGUGUAGUGGUGUGUGGAGGUGGUGUAGUGGUGUGUGGAGGUGUGUAGUGGGGUGUGGAGGUGGUGUAGUGGGGUGUGGAGGUGGUGUAGUGGUGUGUGGAGGUGGUGUAGUGGUGUGUGGAGGUGUGUGGUGGGGUGUGGAGGUGGUGUAGUGGUGUGUGGAGGUGUGUAGUGGUGUGUGGAGGUGGUGCAGUGGUGUGUGGAGGCGUGUGGAGGUGGUGUAGUGGUGUGUGGAGGUGGUGUAGUGGUGUGUGGUGGUGUGUGGAGGUGGUGUAGUGGUUUGUGGAGGCGUGUGGAGGUGGUGUAGUGGUGUGUGGAGGUGGUGUAGUGGUGUGUGGAGGUGUGUGGUGGUGUGUGGAGGUGUGUAGUGGUGUGUGGAGGUGGUGUAGUGGUGUGUGGAGGUGUGUAGUGGUGUGUGGAGGUGGUGUAGUGGUGUGUGGAGGCGUUGUAGUGGGGUGUGGAGGUGGUGUAGUGGGGUGUGGAGGGGGUGUAGUGGGGUGUGGAGGUGUGUAGUGGUGUGUGGAGGUGGUGUAGUGGGGUGUGGAGGUGGUGUAGUGGUGUGUGGAGGUGUGUAGUGGUGUGUGGAGGUGGUGGAGUGGGGUGUGGAGGCGUGUGGAGGUGUUGUAGUGGGGUGUGGAGGUGGUGUAGUGGGGUGUGGAGGGGGUGUAGUGGGGUGUGGAGGUGUGUAGUGGUGUGUGGAGGUGGUGUAGUGGUGUGUGGAGGUGUGUAGUGGUGUGUGGAGGUGGUGUAGUGGUGUGUGGAGGCGUGUGGAGGUGGUGUAGUGGUGUGUGGAGGCGUGUGGAGGUGGUGUAGUGGUGUGUGGAGGCGUGUGGAGGUGGUGUGUGG
Clupea harengus (Atlantic herring) is the source of this 1639-nucleotide long non-coding RNA. The record is from Ensembl. NCBI's taxonomy places the organism in Eukaryota, Metazoa, Chordata, Actinopteri, Clupeiformes, Clupeidae.